This 301-nucleotide ribosomal RNA is filed under the name uncultured bacterium. RNAcentral describes it as "partial 16S ribosomal RNA". It matches the Rfam family "Bacterial small subunit ribosomal RNA", at positions 509 to 807 of the family's 1533-position model. The record is from RNAcentral.
CAGUCGCCGCGGGAAUACAGAGGGUGCAAGCGUUAAUCGGAUUUACUGGGCGUAAAGGGCGCGUAGGUGGUUAUUUAAGUGAGAUGUGAAAUCCCCGGGCUUAACCUGGGAACUGCAUCUUAUACUGGGUAACUGGAGUGCAAUAGAGGGUAGUGGAAUUUCCGGUGUAGCGGUGAAAUGCGUAGAUAUCAGAAGGAACACCAGUGGCGAAGGCGGCUACCUGGAUUGACACUGACACUGAGGCGCGAGAGCGUGGGGAGCAAACAGGAUUAGAGACCCGCGUAGUCCCUGUCUCUUAUAC